AUGACUAGGGAUAACCUUAGGAAGAGACACAUCAUCAAACCCCUUGAUUGUGUUUACUGCGUGGAACAAGAGUCUUGUUCUCACCUAUUUUUUGAAUGUAUAGUUGCUAAACAUCUCUGGGCCCACAUUGAGGAAUAUUUCUCUAGUCAAAUUGGCUCAUCCUUCGAAUCUGUCGCCAGAUUCUGGAUUGCUACCAAAAAUUGCUCAGUUUUAAACACUGUUAGCUCAGCUGUCCUUUGGUGCCUCUGGAAAUAUAGAAAUGCUGUGAUUUUCAGUAACACCUCCUGGAUUUUCAUUCCGCAGGUCUUGAGGUUGAUCAUGAACAUGGUGAGGAACUGGGCGAUUCUCUCCUCUGGAUCGGACAAGGACAAGUUGAUGAGCUUCCUGGAAACCCUAACAUGAUCCCUCCAGAAACCGUUGGUGAUCACUUGUGGCUGA
This 438-nucleotide ribosomal RNA is filed under the name Triticum aestivum (bread wheat). RNAcentral describes it as "partial small subunit ribosomal RNA". Lineage: Eukaryota; Viridiplantae; Streptophyta; Magnoliopsida; Poales; Poaceae. The record is from RNAcentral.